CUGGCGGAUUUCUUCCAGGCGGCGUUCUCAGAGGAAAGAGGCGCGACGCUUCAAUAACGGUUCCGAAUUCUUCGCGACGGGCGCAGGGACACAUCGUUCCUCAGGUAUACUCUGCGUGCCUUGACCGCAUUACAGUAACUGUGUAGCAUUUGUGCAAAUGUUGCGAGGCCUUUAGGUCUGCUUCGAGGAGGUAAUGGAUGGAUGUCAUGAAGGGUCUCGGGGAGCAUGGGAAGAGCACGCCGCUUGCAGGUGUGGAGAACCUCAUGCUCCACUU
This 274-nucleotide unclassified non-coding RNA is filed under the name plant metagenome. Its description in RNAcentral is "partial contains 5.8S ribosomal RNA, internal transcribed spacer 2, and large subunit ribosomal RNA". The record is from RNAcentral.